UCCCUUAGUAACGGCGAGUGAAGCGGGAAUAGCUCAGGCUGAAAAUCAAGUGUUCCCUUUGGAAUGUCUUGACGUGUGGUCUGACGAGGCAUGCUCGGUAACAGUGUAAACUCAAGUCCUCUGGAAAGGGGCACCAUGGAGGGUGACAGUCCCGUUCGCAGUUUACAUAGUUGCGUUGCCAUGAGAGCUGUCUUCAGAGAGUCGGGUUGCUUGGGAGUGCAGCCCAAAUGGGGUGGUAUACGCCAUCCAAGGCUAAAUAUCAGCGAGAGACCGAUAGCGAACAAGUACUGUGAAGGAAAGUUGAAAAGCACUCUGGAGAGAGAGUCAAACGAGCACGUGAAAUUGCUGGCAGGGAAGCGCUGGGCGUCAGUGCGCAUGCUCCUAAGGGAACAGGUUAAGGGUGGUGGUCUGUAGCUAUGUACAAUGUACAUGGUCAUGGUGCUGCUACCCUCAGCUGCAAGCCCUUGAGUGUGGGUCAGCAUCGGUUACGGAGUGUCAUAAAACGGCUUUGGUUAUGGUAUUUCGGUACCGUAACCUCAGUGCAGCAUGAUACCUUUGACCGUGGAAUGGCAGGGCGGCCGCAAGGCAGAUUGCGUGGCCCAUGGCUCCCAAGUCAUCAUCGGGUAACUGCUUGCAGGUACUCAGUGAGAGGCUUGUUACUCAUGGCCACCAUCAGCGCCCUACAGAUGCUGGCGAAAUGGCGUCCAUCGACCCGUCUUGAAACACGGACCAAGGAGUCUAGCAUACGCGCGAGUGUUUGGGUGACAAGCCCCGACGCGCAACGAAAGUGACACUUUGCCCCAACCGCAAGGAGCAGGGCAGGCCAGUCCAAGCGCCAUUAGGCAACGGGCUGAGCAGGAGCGUGUAUGCCGGGACCCGAUAGACGGUGAACUAUGCCUGAGCAGGACGAAGCCAGAGGAAACUCUGGUGGAGGUCCGCAGCGGUUCUGACGUGCAAAUCGAUCGUCGGACUUGGGCAUAGGGGCGAAAGACUAAUCGAACCGUCUAGUAGCUGGUUCCCGCCGAAGUUUCCCUCAGGAUAGCAGAGACGCGCGCUACUAGUAUUAUGCGGUAAAGCGAAUGAUUAGAGGCCUUGGGGACGAAAUGUCCUUAACCUAUUCUCAAACUUGGAAUGCGUAAGCGCGUUUGGCCUACUUAUGUGAGGCCAAACAUCAGUGCAUAUAGAAGCGUCUUUAGUGGGCCAUUUUUGGUAAGCAGAACUGGCGAUGUGGGAUGAACCAAACGCGAGGUUAAGGUGCCGGAAUGCACGCUCAUGUCGAUCCCACAAAAGGCGUUGGUUCAUCUAGACAGCAGGACGGUGGCCAUGGAAGUCGGAAUCCGCUAAGGAGUGUGUAACAACUCACCUGCCGAAUGAACUAGCCCUGAAAAUGGAUGGCGCUCAAGCGUGCUACCCAUACCUCGCCGCUCAUGCACGUUAUGUGUGAGCGAGUAGGCGGGCGUGGGGAGCCGUGGCGAAGCAUAA
Molecule: ribosomal RNA, 1482 nt
Filed under: Acaulopage acanthospora
Lineage: Eukaryota; Fungi; Zoopagomycota; Zoopagomycetes; Zoopagales; Zoopagaceae
Description: partial large subunit ribosomal RNA
Rfam family: Eukaryotic large subunit ribosomal RNA
Source: RNAcentral